Molecule: non-coding RNA, 1855 nt
Filed under: Mus musculus (house mouse)
Lineage: Eukaryota; Metazoa; Chordata; Mammalia; Rodentia; Muridae
Source: RNAcentral
ACCGUGCAAAGGUAGCAUAAUCACUUGUUCCUUAAUUAGGGACUAGCAUGAACGGCUAAACGAGGGUCCAACUGUCUCUUAUCUUUAAUCAGUGAAAUUGACCUUUCAGUGAAGAGGCUGAAAUAUAAUAAUAAGACGAGAAGACCCUAUGGAGCUUAAAUUAUAUAACUUAUCUAUUUAAUUUAUUAAACCUAAUGGCCCAAAAACUAUAGUAUAAGUUUGAAAUUUCGGUUGGGGUGACCUCGGAGAAUAAAAAAUCCUCCGAAUGAUUAUAACCUUCUCUAGGUUAGAGGGUGUACGUAUAUAUUUUAUUUAGAUUUUAUUCAUAAAUUAAGUUGAGAGCGCUUAUUUGUAAGGUGGCUCUAUUUCUCUUGUCCUUUCGUACUGGGAGAAAUCGUAAAUAGAUAGAAACCGACCUGGAUUGCUCCGGUCUGAACUCAGAUCACGUAGGACUUUAAUCGUUGAACAAACGAACCAUUAAUAGCUUCUACACCAUUGGGAUGUCCUGAUCCAACAUCGAGGUCGUAAACCCUAAUUGUCGAUAUGAACUCUUAAAUAGGAUUGCGCUGUUAUCCCUAGGGUAACUUGGUCCGUUGAUCAAAAUAUAUCUGGGUCAAUAAGAUAUGUUGAUUUUACUUUGACUUGUAAGUCUAGGUUAUAAUCAUUCGGAGGAUUUUUUAUUCUCCGAGGUCACCCCAACCGAAAUUUCAAACUUAUACUAUAGUUUUUGGGCCAUUAGGUUUAAUAAAUUAAAUAGAUAAGUUAUAUAAUUUAAGCUCCAUAGGGUCUUCUCGUCUUAUUAUUAUAUUUCAGCCUCUUCACUGAAAGGUCAAUUUCACUGAUUAAAGAUAAGAGACAGUUGGACCCUCGUUUAGCCGUUCAUGCUAGUCCCUAAUUAAGGAACAAGUGAUUAUGCUACCUUUGCACGGUCAGGAUACCGCGGCCGUUAAACUUUAGUCACUGGGCAGGCAGUGCCUCUAAUACUUGUAAUGCUAGAGGUGAUGUUUUUGGUAAACAGGCGGGGUUCUUGUUUGCCGAGUUCCUUUUAUCUUUUUGGAUCUUUCCUUUAGGCAUUCCGGUGUUGGGUUAACAGAGAAGUUAUAGGUGGAUUAUUUAUAGUGUGAUUAUUGCCUAUAGUCUGAUUAACUAACAAUGGUUAUCCGAGUUGUUAUACGCGUAUGCCUGGAGAAUUGGAAUUCUUGUUACUCAUACUAACAGUGUUGCAUCUAUAAAGUUAUAGAUUAACCCAAUUUUAAGUUUAGGAAGUUGGUGUAAAUUAUGGAAUUAAUUGAAAUUUUAUGUUGAGCUUGAACGCUUUCUUUAUUGGUGGCUGCUUUUAGGCCUACAAUGGUUAAAAGCUGUUUUGUUAAUUAUUCACUAUUAAAGGUUUUUUCCGUUCCAGAAGAGCUGUCCCUCUUUUGGCUAUAAUCUAAACUUACUUUUUGAUUUUGUUGUUUUUUUAGCAAGUUUAAAAUUGAACUUAAAUUCAUUUUUUGGGUAACCAGCUAUCACCAAGCUCGUUAGGCUUUUCACCUCUACCUAAAAAUCUUCUCACUAUUUUGCCACAUAGACGAGUUGAUUCAUAAAAUUGUUUUUAGGUAGCUCGUUUGGUUUCGGGGUUUCUAGCUGUAAUUCUUUUAGUUAGAAGUUUUCUAGUUAGUUCAUUAUGCAAAAGGUACAAGGUUUAAUCUUUGCUUGUUCUUACUUUUAAUUAGUCUUUCAUCUUUCCCUUGCGGUACUAGUUCUAUAGCUCCUAGAUGUACGAAUUUCUUUCUCCAAUACUUUUAGUAGGAUAAAUGUUUUGAUUUAUAUAAUAGUAUAAUUAUAUUUGUGUAGGGCUAGGGCUAGGAUUAGU